ACGAACGCUGGCGGCGUGCUUAACACAUGCAAGUCGAACGGAAAGGCCCCUUUGGGGGUACUCGAGUGGCGAACGGGUGAGUAACACGUGAGUAACCUGCCCUUGACUUCGGGAUAACUUCAGGAAACUGGGGCUAAUACCGGAUAGGAAUCCUUGCUGCAUGGUGGGGGUUGGAAAGCUUCGGCGGUUUUGGAUGGACUCGCGGCUUAUCAGCUUGGUGGUGGGGUAGUGGCUUACCAAGGCUUUGACGGGUAGCCGGCCUGGGAGGGCGACCGGCCACAUUGGGACUGAGAUACGGCCCAGACUCCUACGGGAGGCAGCAGUGGGGAAUAUUGCCCAAUGGGCGGAAGCCAGAUGCAGCAACGCCGCGUGCGGGAUGACGGCCUUCGGGUUGUAAACCGCUUUCAGCAGGGGCGAAGCUUGUGGUGACGGUACCUGCAGAAGAAGCACCGGCUAACUACGUG
Molecule: ribosomal RNA, 464 nt
Filed under: uncultured bacterium
Lineage: Bacteria
Description: partial 16S ribosomal RNA
Rfam family: Bacterial small subunit ribosomal RNA
Source: RNAcentral